UGGUCCCACUUCUCUGUCUCAAACUGGCUUUUUCUCAAUCCUUUGACUCCGCCGGGCUUUGUCACCCCCAUGACCUGGUGUUGGGUCUGAUCACCCCAACGUUCCUGGCUGCUCAAUGUGGGGUGACAAAGACCCCGGUGAAGGAACGCUAGAGCGUGUGAAAGCAGAGGACGCAUCAUCAGAGGACACCUGAGGAUGUCUAAAAGAAGCUCAGCAGGAAAGCUGAGUGCUGGGAAGAACCAGGGUAGCAAUGGGACAAAGUGAAAGCAGACAUUCUGCUUAUUUAAAUUUCUUAAGGCGUUUAUUAUGAAGAGGGGGGAGUGAAAGUUAGUGCUCAGAAUUUAUCACUCUUCAGUGCAGUAAAGCAGUUUUGCCCAUGGUUCCCGGAACAAGGGACUAUGGAGUUGGAUGAAUGGGAGAGAAUUGGCAGAGAUUUUUAAAAAAACAUAUAAAGGUGGAGCAAAUAUUCCAGUCUCGGUUUGGUCAAUGUGGGCACUAAUAAAAGCAGCUCUUGAGCCAUUUCAAACAGAUCAUGAGGCAGAUUCAGAUGAGGAAGAGGAGGGCGAGUGUAAAAAACUAACUUCAGAUUCUGAAUGUGAGGAACAGAAACCGGAGGAAAUCAAAGAAAGGGAAACCGAAAAAGGUCCUAAUAAGAGAUGAAGAACAAUGAAGAUAUCGUGAAAAAUAUUUUGCUUCCCUGCCUUCAUACAAUCCUCUAACAGUCAAAAAUGUAUCUGCAGCGCCCAGUAAGGCCAACUGAUGACUCAAACACAACCCCCCAAGGGUGUCCUUAUGCCCUUCCAUUGCUUAAAAUAAAGAGCUCGGGGGUCACUUACGGAAAUCAAUGGAAUCUUGCUCUGUCACCCAGGCUGGAGUGCAAUGGCAU
RNAcentral lists this long non-coding RNA (886 nucleotides) under Homo sapiens (human). RNAcentral describes it as "HSALNT0365332". Lineage: Eukaryota; Metazoa; Chordata; Mammalia; Primates; Hominidae. The record is from RNAcentral.